RNAcentral lists this ribosomal RNA (559 nucleotides) under uncultured bacterium. RNAcentral's name for it is "partial 16S ribosomal RNA". It matches the Rfam family "Bacterial small subunit ribosomal RNA", at positions 355 to 905 of the family's 1533-position model. The record is from RNAcentral.
UGGGGAAUUUUGGACAAUGGGCGAAAGCCUGAUCCAGCAAUGCCGCGUGUGUGAAGAAGGCCUUCGGGUUGUAAAGCACUUUUGUCCGGAAAGAAAUCCUUGGCUCUAAUACAGUCGGGGGAUGACGGUGCCGGAAGAAUAAGCACCGGCUAACUACGUGCCAGCAGCCGCGGUAAUACGUAGGGUGCAAGCGUUAAUCGGAAUUACUGGGCGUAAAGCGUGCGCAGGCGGUUUGCUAAGACCGAUGUGAAAUCCCCGGGCUCAACCUGGGAACUGCAUUGGUGACUGGCAGGCUAGAGUAUGGCAGAGGGGGGUAGAAUUCCACGUGUAGCAGUGAAAUGCGUAGAGAUGUGGAGGAAUACCGAUGGCGAAGGCAGCCCCCUGGGCCAAUACUGACGCUCAUGCACGAAAGCGUGGGGAGCAAACAGGAUUAGAUACCCCUGGUAGUCCACGCCCUAAACGAUGUCAACUAGUUGUUGGGGAUUCAUUUCCUUAGUAACGUAGCUAACGCGUGAAGUUGACCGCCUGGGGAGUACGGUCGCAAGAUUAAAAGCUUAAA